GGGUCAGCAGGUCGGUCGUGCCAAUGGUAUGCACUGGCCUUGCUGAUUCCUCCCUCUUGAUGAGCCGUAAUGCCAUUAAUUUGGUGUUGCGGGGAAUCAGGACUGUUACUUUGAAAAAAUUAGAGUGUUUAAAGCAGGCAUCCGCUUGAAUACAUUAGCAUGGAAUAACAGAAUAAGACU
Molecule: ribosomal RNA, 180 nt
Filed under: uncultured Glomeromycotina
Lineage: Eukaryota; Fungi; Glomeromycota
Description: partial small subunit ribosomal RNA
Source: RNAcentral